GCGCGAGUCGUGUAGUUCGGUAUCACGCGGUCGUGCCACGACCGAGACGGGCGUUCACGGCUUCUGUGGAGUCGUGAGCUCGAAGGAGGGUUCCUCCUCCGGCGUUCGAAUCGUCCCUCGCGCA
RNAcentral lists this transfer RNA (124 nucleotides) under Halorubrum ezzemoulense. Its description in RNAcentral is "tRNA-Gly". The record is from RNAcentral. Lineage: Archaea; Methanobacteriati; Methanobacteriota; Halobacteria; Halobacteriales; Haloferacaceae.